GAUGAACGCUGGCGGCGUGCCUAAUACAUGCAAGUCGAGCGAACAGAUAAGGAGCUUGCUCCUUUGACGUUAGCGGCGGACGGGUGAGUAACACGUGGGUAACCUACCUAUAAGACUGGGAUAACUUCGGGAAACCGGAGCUAAUACCGGAUAAUAUUUCGAACCGCAUGGUUCGAUAGUGAAAGAUGGUUUUGCUAUCACUUAUAGAUGGACCCGCGCCGUAUUAGCUAGUUGGUAAGGUAACGGCUUACCAAGGCGACGCUACGUAGCCGACCUGAGAGGGUGAUCGGCCACACUGGAACUGAGACACGGUCCAGACUCCUACGGGAGGCAGCAGUAGGGAAUCUUCCGCAAUGGGCGAAAGCCUGACGGAGCAACGCCGCGUGAGUGAUGAAGGUCUUCGGAUCGUAAAACUCUGUUAUUAGGGAAGAACAUACGUGUAAGUAACUGUGCACGUCUUGACGGUACCUAAUCAGAAAGCCACGGCUAACUACGUG
Molecule: ribosomal RNA, 497 nt
Filed under: uncultured bacterium
Lineage: Bacteria
Description: partial 16S ribosomal RNA
Rfam family: Bacterial small subunit ribosomal RNA
Source: RNAcentral